Small nuclear RNA from Pelodiscus sinensis (Chinese soft-shelled turtle), 187 nucleotides. Its record names the gene U12. It matches the Rfam family "U12 minor spliceosomal RNA". Rfam says of the family: Although the U12 sequence is very divergent from that of U2, the two are functionally analogous. NCBI's taxonomy places the organism in Eukaryota, Metazoa, Chordata, Testudines, Trionychidae. The record is from Ensembl.
AUGCCUUACACGUAGGAGUAAGGAAAAUAACAAUCUGGGGUGAUACCCAGGUCCUCACUGCUAAUGUGAGAGGAAUUUUUGCGGAGACUCAGGUUGCUCCCAGGGUGACUGGCCUACUUAGCGAGAAAAAAAAUCACUAGUGUAUGUGAUACAGGGCACCAGCGGUGAAAGUAGCUUAAAAUGUCUC